AUACGUAGGGGGCAAGCGUUGUUCGGAUUUACUGGGCGUAAAGAGAGUGUAGGUGGUUUAUUAAGUCGGAUGUGAAAUCCCGGGGCUCAACCUCGGAACUGCAUUCGAUACUGAUAGGCUAGAGUUUGGGAGGGGUAAGCGGAAUUCCGUGUGUAGCAGUGAAAUGCGUAGAUAUACGGAGGAACACCUGAGGCGAAGGCGGCUUACUGGACCAAUACUGACACUGAGACUCGAAAGCGUGGGUAGCAAACAGGAUUAGAAACCCUAGUAGUCCC
RNAcentral lists this ribosomal RNA (275 nucleotides) under uncultured bacterium. RNAcentral's name for it is "partial 16S ribosomal RNA". It matches the Rfam family "Bacterial small subunit ribosomal RNA", at positions 523 to 797 of the family's 1533-position model. The record is from RNAcentral.